Molecule: ribosomal RNA, 501 nt
Filed under: uncultured bacterium
Lineage: Bacteria
Description: partial 16S ribosomal RNA
Rfam family: Bacterial small subunit ribosomal RNA
Source: RNAcentral
AUUGAACGCUGGCGGCAGGCUUAACACAUGCAAGUCGAGCGGAGAUGAGGUGCUUGCACCUUAUCUUAGCGGCGGACGGGUGAGUAAUGCUUAGGAAUCUGCCUAUUAGUGGGGGACAACGUUCCGAAAGGAAUGCUAAUACCGCAUACGUCCUACGGGAGAAAGCAGGGGAUCUUCGGACCUUGCGCUAAUAGAUGAGCCUAAGUCGGAUUAGCUAGUUGGUGGGGUAAAGGCCUACCAAGGCGACGAUCUGUAGCGGGUCUGAGAGGAUGAUCCACCACACUGGGACUGAGACACGGCCCAGACUCCUACGGGAGGCAGCAGUGGGGAAUAUUGGACAAUGGGGGGAACCCUGAUCCAGCCAUGCCGCGUGUGUGAAGAAGGCCUUAUGGUUGUAAAGCACUUUAAGCGAGGAGGAGGCUACUGAGACUAAUACUCUUGGAUAGUGGACGCUACUCGCAGAAUAAGCACCGGCUAACUCUGUGCCAGCCGCCGCGGUAA